UACGUAGGCAGCGAGCGUUGUUCGGAUUUACUGGGCGUAAAGGGUGUGUAGGCGGUUGUUUAAGUUUGGUGUGAAAUCUCCCGGCUCAACUGGGAGGGUGCGCCGAAUACUGAGCGACUAGAGUGCGGGAGAGGAAAGUGGAAUUCCUGGUGUAGCGGUGAAAUGCGUAGAUAUCAGGAGGAACACCGGUGGUGUAGACGGCUUUCUGGACCGUAACUGACGCUGAGACACGAAAGCGUGGGUAGCAAACAGG
Molecule: ribosomal RNA, 253 nt
Filed under: uncultured bacterium
Lineage: Bacteria
Description: partial 16S ribosomal RNA
Rfam family: Bacterial small subunit ribosomal RNA
Source: RNAcentral